GUAAUGCAUCACAUGAAUUCUUUCAUUCAAAAUGGUUCAUGCCUAAAUCUUAUCACUAUUUUGGGUAUUGUUUGUUAUUGUUAAGUGAAGCCGAAAUGCCCAGUGAAAAGAGGAGGAUUCAGGAGAGAGAGAGAGACAACUAAAGGAGGCAGCAAAGAGGAGCACAUCACUACAGGGUUGGCUACGAAAAAGCCAAACAGCAGAUGAGGAGCAGUCACAAGCCUCCAGACACUCGGAAAAUGUGGACCAGGAGGAGGCACAUAGGGCAGGUAGGCCUAAGUGCUGAUCACCAUAUAUGAGAGGACCAUGCUAGAA
Gadus chalcogrammus (walleye pollock) is the source of this 315-nucleotide long non-coding RNA. RefSeq lists it as uncharacterized. The transcript is spliced from 3 exons. The record is from RefSeq and is a predicted model, not a curated record. NCBI's taxonomy places the organism in Eukaryota, Metazoa, Chordata, Actinopteri, Gadiformes, Gadidae.